GCAGCGGCACGCAAUGCCAUCACCGUAGCACAUAAGCCCCACAGGCGCUCGGUCUCUCUCAUCGUUCAUGCACGUGGGCAAACCCUCCACGCUCUCACUCGCGCACGGCAAGCACAGCUGUCAUCUCUCGUCCAUGGCGACCGCAUCGUCUUCGCUAUCAUCGAGUUGUUUCAUCGAUGCGGCCACAUACUUCGAAGGCCGUCGUGGGCGUCGAACCUUCCCCGAGAGAAACGCCUCGCAGAUUUCGUUUGGGGACGCGAGCUCCAACAGUUCGAUAGAAGAGGAAGAGGGGCUGGUGCGGCGACAGGCGCAAGCAUCUGCGCCGGUCUCAUGGCAGCAGCAGCAGCGCCACCAGCAGAUGCGGCCAACGCGACGACCGCGCGGACCUGGGAUAACUUUUGCCGCGCAUAUUGGAGCGAACGGCUUUCCAGCCGCUGCCUCGCGCCGCAGCGCCUGCGUUGAUGUCGUGCCUGAGUGCCUUUACCAGUAUGACACUAGCAAGCUGCACCCGCACAAGAGGCUGGCUCAGAUGCCGAAUCGUGUAAAGCAGUGCGACCGCAACCUGCAGCUGUUUCUGCGACCGGAGGAGCAGGUGGCACAGUCUGCCGCGGCAGCCGUGAUGCUUGGCGAGUCGCGGGAUGGGCAGCUGUCCUACUCUCGCUAUGCAUCUUCGCAGGCGCACGAGCACAGAAGAGACCCGCGGAUGACUGUCGGCGCGAUCGAGGCCUCGUCCAGCCCAUUUUCAGACUCUGCGCCGUACGAUCACGCCAUGCUGGCUGGCCGCCGCCCUUGCCUUCCCUAUGCGCCUGCCGCAGAACUCGACGACUCGCCGCUUUCGAGGGAGUCUCUGUUGUCAGAACGACUGCGACUGCUGGAGUACCUCUAUCAGCGAGAGCGCAGCAGGCUCCGUGGGGCAAGCCGCUCCGCGGAGAGAGAUGUGGAUGCAGUCAUAGAAGAGGGCGCACGGGCUCGGCACGGUCAAGCUGCAGUCUCCACACUGCCGUCCUGCACGGCAGUGCUCCCCCUGAAACACGGCGACAGCGCUGACGUCGCCGCAAACCUACCUUCGCUGAGACGUCGAGCGGAGCGCAGCAGUGUCAGACGUGAUGAGGGCGACGGCGCAGUGUAUGCGCAUCCACUGCAAGGUCGUGAGUGGCAGCCGUGGGAGCGCGAGCAUGCAUGUGAGACGAACCCAGUUACCCCUCGCACCCGAUCAUCCUUCCACGCAUCCGCGCAGAUCGCGGAUUCGAAUGAGAGCAGAGAUGACCAUACUGACAGAAGUGGCGGUGUUGAUCACGCACCCGCGAACUCUUUCGGCAACGCCAUGUGCUCAGCCAACUGGUGGUGUGCCUCCGCCUCACAUCCGCGACGGGUCACAGGCUCCUACGGCGACUUCUCUGGCAGCACGGAAGCCCGCAAUGAGCCGCCUAAGCACACCACUCGCAUCGGCUCGCGAAUGGCCGUGGCUGAUGCCGCUCCUCGAGUACCUCGCAUCUCCGCCUGGUUUGCGCCCCUGCGUAAUGACCGCGUAGCGCGGCAGGUGCAUCGUACCAAAAGCGCCGACCACGCUCGCGCAUCGCACUCGUUGCAAGAGAAAGAGCGACAAGCUGGUCAACUUCAGCGGCACAUCUCAGCGGCAUCGCCAUCGGCGCAGGGGAGCUCGUCCUCCAACACAGCGGGGGCAAGGCCAGUGGAAACCUCCCCUGCCGCCUCCGCUCGCACAAGAGCGGCAGUGACCCUCACCGACGUCUGCACACAUCAAAAGUUGUGGGCACCAUCUCUGCAGCAGCGACAGCACUGGAAGCUGGCGGGCAGCGCCGCUUCAUCUCCCCUCUUCCUCACAUCCUCUGCACGCGUACAGGGACGAGACGAAGCAGCGCUGACUCUGCGAGACGUGUGUCGGGCGUUGAACGCCUCCGCAGUGGUGGUGUGAGAAAAAGGUGAGGCAAUGCUGGCGGCGACGAUAGAGGGUCGCCUCGUCGCAGCUGAGGCGGACGCGGCCCAGAGGCUUCUGUUUGGCGAGGGUGCAACGCUUAGCUACACACGCGCACACACGUGGUGGUCGAUGAAGCGCUGCCGUGUUGCAGUUUUGUCUGCGUGUGUGCCUGCGCGGUGCUUCAUGGCCGCCCCUCCUCAUCCGUUGAUGAUGAUCCGCCCCCUCUGCUCGCUUCGCUUUUUUCGUUCGGCUUUGUAGUGCGUCGACGGCGUACAGACGAGAUCCGCUUGCGUGUGUGCCUGUGCGUGCACGCGCGACCCCUCGACACUCUUGCGUAAGG
Molecule: unclassified non-coding RNA, 2276 nt
Filed under: Leishmania donovani
Lineage: Eukaryota; Euglenozoa; Kinetoplastea; Trypanosomatida; Trypanosomatidae
Description: gene:LdHU3.24.0950(CDS-product:hypothetical_prote in_conserved)
Source: RNAcentral